UAUGGAAGGUUUGAGGGCGAGUAUCUUGUUAAUCCAGUCAGGUCUGAAAAGAAGCAGCUGUACCAAGUCUAUUCGGGUCUUAUAACCUUCCCUUAAA
RNAcentral lists this signal recognition particle RNA (97 nucleotides) under Alphaproteobacteria bacterium. Its description in RNAcentral is "signal recognition particle sRNA small type". It matches the Rfam family "Bacterial small signal recognition particle RNA". From Rfam's summary of the family: The signal recognition particle (SRP) is a universally conserved ribonucleoprotein involved in the co-translational targeting of proteins to membranes. Archaeal SRP consists of a 7S RNA and homologues of the eukaryotic SRP19 and SRP54 proteins. RNAcentral also lists the same sequence under 1 other name. The record is from RNAcentral. Lineage: Bacteria; Pseudomonadati; Pseudomonadota; Alphaproteobacteria.